AAAUUGAAGAGUUUGAUCAUGGCUCAGAUUGAACGCUGGCGGCAGGCCUAACACAUGCAAGUCGAACGGUAACAGGAAGCAGCUUGCUGCUUUGCUGACGAGUGGCGGACGGGUGAGUAAUGUCUGGGAAACUGCCUGAUGGAGGGGGAUAACUACUGGAAACGGUGGCUAAUACCGCAUAACGUCGCAAGACCAAAGAGGGGGAUCUUCGGGCCUCUUGCCAUCAGAUGUGCCCAGAUGGGAUUAGCU
This 249-nucleotide ribosomal RNA is filed under the name Salmonella enterica subsp. enterica serovar Infantis. RNAcentral's name for it is "partial 16S ribosomal RNA". It matches the Rfam family "Bacterial small subunit ribosomal RNA", at positions 1 to 246 of the family's 1533-position model. Lineage: Bacteria; Pseudomonadati; Pseudomonadota; Gammaproteobacteria; Enterobacterales; Enterobacteriaceae. RNAcentral also lists the same sequence under 2 other names. The record is from RNAcentral.